Molecule: small nuclear RNA, 194 nt
Organism: Ochotona princeps (American pika)
Lineage: Eukaryota; Metazoa; Chordata; Mammalia; Lagomorpha; Ochotonidae
Gene: U2
Rfam family: U2 spliceosomal RNA
About the family: U2 is a small nuclear RNA (snRNA) component of the spliceosome (involved in pre-mRNA splicing). Complementary binding between U2 snRNA (in an area lying towards the 5' end but 3' to hairpin I) and the branchpoint sequence (BPS) of the intron results the bulging out of an unpaired adenosine, on the BPS, which initiates a nucleophilic attack at the intronic 5' splice site, thus starting the first of two transesterification reactions that mediate splicing.
Source: Ensembl
AUCACUUCUCGGCCUUUUGGCCAAGAUGAAGUGUAGUAUGUGCUCUUGUCAGUUUGAUAUCUGAUACAUCCUCUCUCCAAGAACACUAUAUUAAAUGGAUUUUUGGAAUUAGGAGAUGGAAUAACAGGAGUUUGCUCUGCCCACUCCACGCAUCUACCUGGUAUUGCAGCACCUCCAGGAACGCUGCACACCCU